This 253-nucleotide ribosomal RNA is filed under the name uncultured bacterium. RNAcentral describes it as "partial 16S ribosomal RNA". It matches the Rfam family "Bacterial small subunit ribosomal RNA", at positions 524 to 776 of the family's 1533-position model. The record is from RNAcentral.
UACGUAGGGUGCGAGCGUUGCCCGGAAUUAUUGGGCGUAAAGGGCGCGUAGGCGGCCAUGCGUGUCUUUCGUGAAAUCCCUCGGCUUAACUGAGGACGUGCGGAAGAAACUGCAAGGCUUGAGUCCGGGAGAGGGGGGUGGAAUUCCCAGUGUAGCGGUGAAAUGCGUAGAUAUUGGGAGGAACACCGGUGGCGAAGGCGGCCCCCUGGACCGGUACUGACGCUGAGGCGCGAAAGCGUGGGUAGCAAACGGG